UUCUUAUCAAGAGAGGUAGAGGGAAUGGCCCUGUGAAGCCUCAGCAACCAUCAAUGUUCUUCAUUGAAAAGGUGCUAAGUCCUGCAAAUCUUUGUGUUUGCGAGAUAAGAA
Molecule: non-coding RNA, 111 nt
Filed under: Bacillus sp. (in: firmicutes)
Lineage: Bacteria; Bacillati; Bacillota; Bacilli; Caryophanales; Bacillaceae
Also listed under: 1 other name
Description: Bacillus sp. SAM-I sequence
Rfam family: SAM riboswitch aptamer (S box leader)
About the family: The SAM riboswitch is found upstream of a number of genes which code for proteins involved in methionine or cysteine biosynthesis in Gram-positive bacteria.
Source: RNAcentral